Pelodiscus sinensis (Chinese soft-shelled turtle) is the source of this 1900-nucleotide non-coding RNA. The record is from RefSeq and is a predicted model, not a curated record. Lineage: Eukaryota; Metazoa; Chordata; Testudines; Trionychidae.
GUUUAAUUACAAGAGUUUAUAUAUUCUGGGGAAAAGUAAAAUAAGGCAGAGCCCUAAUUUUUUUUGUAACAAUUUUAACUAGCGGAAAUAUGAUUUUAUACUGUUUACUUUGACAUUUCUGUGAUAAGAACAGCUAACUUUUUAAUUUUUUUUCUAGUAUUUGACAUUUAACGACUGGACAGUGUGAAAGUAGAGAAUGCAAAUAAAUUAUAAAUUCCAAAAACCUGUCUGAUGGGUUCCUGUAUUAACUACUGAUUUUCCUUUGAGAUGCUGCCAUUUAUCUGCUUAUGGUAGACUUAUGGGAGUGAAGAUGAGAAUUUCUACUACUGUUAAGAAUGUAACAUUUAAUUAUCUCCUCCUCAUUUUCUUCCCGGAAGCUGUGUGUACACGGAAUUCUUUUCCAUGAGCUGGACUGCAAAGACUCUCUCUUUCUCUUCCUCCUCAAGAUCCACAUCUUCCACAACAUAUACAGGAAACUACCUGCUCAAGUUAUCUACAAAGUUACUUCCUCUUCCCUUAUUUACCAUUUAUUCUUAAUGUAUUUACCCUUUCUGUUAAAUGUUCAUUUAUGUAGAAGGAUGGGGGAGUGAGCCUCCAGAGUAUCAACUGGCCAUAUAAACCCCAACAGGAAAUGUUCAUCUGAGCUACUCUUCUAGAGAGAAUGGAGAGUUCGGAGUACAUAGUGUAAGGAAAAAAAUAACUAGCCCCCCCAAAAUUCCAGGAGUUUUGUGCCACCAGAAGCAUAUUGUUCCUGUUUAAAACAUACUUGUUGUGCAACCGUAAUCCCAUUUAGUAGGAAAUAAGCCAACUACCACUCAAACUAUUUUAAAAUUAUGUGGAUAAUCAAAUAGUAGUCAUUUAUUUAGUUUCCAGUGCUGAUUAUGCACAACAAGUUAUGGUAGGUCCCUUUCUAAAAUUUUGCCUGAGACUGAUAUAUUAUGUUGUACUGAAUAUUUUCUUGAUAGCCUUAUUUUAUCUCUAGCCAGGAAAUACGUAUCCAUUUUUAAGAACUACAAUGUGAACAAAUACAAUAUUGCUAUAGGAGUUCUGUAUGCAGGAAUAUUUAGACGGUAAAUGUUAGGUAAAUGUUAUGGAAAUGUAGGAUUUAAAUUAGCUUUGAUAAGUACAGUUUUUGCAUGGAUCCAAAAUUACUUAGUUUGACUUUUACGGUAUACAGAUGUUGAUUAUCUAGUGUGCUCAUCAUGAAAUAUAUUUUUAAAAUAAAUUCCAAUAAUGUUAUAUAUGUAUCUCUGGAGACCUAAAUAAUAGGAAUGUUGACAUCAGGAGAAAUUAUGCAUGUUCAAUACCUUUGACUGUCAGGCUACUUUUUAUUUAGGUGCCUCAAAAUAGUUUUAAAUAUUGAGGAGUACCGUGGCACUUUAAAUACUAACACAUUUAUUUGGGCAUAAGCUUUUAUCGGCUGAAACCCAAUUAAUCAGAUGCAUGAUGUGGAAAUUUUAGUUGGUUUAGGUUCCUACUUGUAGGCAGCUGCAGUGGAAAAUAUGGUCAUAAUAUUUGCAAUGAAACUAAAAUGGCAAUAUUUUACAAGUGAUAAACAAGAAAGGGUUAGAAAGAGAGCAUGUGAUCACUAAAAAGGCCAUGCCUACAAUUUUGCAAGAGAAAUGAUUAGUGUAUUAUAAUAAUUUGAAUAAAUCUGUGUCAUCUGAUGGAAGUUUCUAACGAUAAUUAUGGUCCUUUGUUUUUUUCUGUGGAAGCUCUUUCAUACUUCUAUAUUAAGUUCAUUUUACUAAACCUCUCAGUUUCUGCUGAUGAUGUCAAACACUCUUUGAUUAUAACUGGAAGUACUCGAGGUAGCUUGCUCCAGGCUGUCCACAGCUUUCCAGUAAGUGUAGCCCAGGAACGGUUGUUUUCAAAUAUCCUGUCAGCCAGCUUGAGUGCA